CUUAAAGGAAUUGACGGGACCCGCACAAGCGGUGGAUGAUGUGGUUUAAUUCGAUGCAACGCGAAAACCUUACCCACCUUUGACAUGUACGGAAUCCUUUAGAGAUAGAGGAGUGCUCGAAAGAGAACCGUAACACAGGUGCUGCAUGGCUGUCGUCAGCUCGUGUCGUGAGAUGUUGGGUUAAGUCCCGCAACGAGCGCAACCCUUGUCAUUAGUUGCUACAUUCAGUUGGGCACUCUAAUGAGACUGCCGGUGACAAACCGGAGGAAGGUGGGGAUGACGUCAAGUCCUCAUGGCCCUUAUAGGUGGGGCUACACACGUCAUACAAUGGAUGGUACAAAGGGUCGCCAACCCGCGAGGGGGAGCCAAUCCCAUAAAGCCAUUCGUAGUCCGGAUCGCAGUCUGCAACUCGGCUGCGUGAAGUCGGAAUCGCUAGUAAUCGUGGAUCAGAAUGUCACGGUGAAUACGUUCCCGGGUCUU
Molecule: ribosomal RNA, 480 nt
Filed under: uncultured Acidovorax sp.
Lineage: Bacteria; Pseudomonadati; Pseudomonadota; Betaproteobacteria; Burkholderiales; Comamonadaceae
Description: bacterial SSU rRNA
Rfam family: Bacterial small subunit ribosomal RNA
Source: RNAcentral